GGCAUUUGUCUCAUGAGUACAGGCAGAUGGGCACCAGCUUCCAGAAGGAGCACACUGAGGUCUACGUUUCCAUCAGCAUUCGGCUUCUGGAUCUCAAGCAAAUGCUGAAAGCAAAGUUCCUUCUGAUGCUGGGGAUGAGAGCAGAUGGAAGCCAAGCUAUAGUUGAUACAGGACCUAUUUCUCAAUGACUCUUUCACUUGCAAACAAGGAGCCUUAGUGCCACUAAGAUUUGGGUACCAUGAUUCACUGAGGGCUGCCCAGGAUAAGCAGUGUCCAUGUCAUGUUUUCCAGGUCAGACUUCUCAGUUAAUCGUGCUGGGGUCAUUGUUAAUGCCAGCCAAGCAUAGCAGAACACAUAACACCAACUCUAAACCACCUUCGGCAAGAAUGGAUGGUGUGACUCAUCUGCCUUCUGUGUCGAUUAGGAAGUUGAUAUUCCUUCCCAGAACCACACAGCUCCUGCUCUGCUGUGCAGAAGUGCACCUCAGUCUCCAUACCUAACAAAUCGAAGGCUCUUCUUGUUUCACAGAGCAUCAGUCGACGUCCUGCCCUCGCUCUCUAAAUUUCUCCCAAGCCUUGCAAGCACCAGAAGUACGAGCGCCAGAUCCUCUCAUCUCCUUCCCUCCCUUGACCUCACCUCUGUGUCCCACACCUCUCCAGGCAGCCCAUGCACGCUCCUGAGGAAGAAUGUGGCCAAUAUACUGCCAAGUGCCGCUAAAUGGAAGGAGGCAGAGGAUAACAGAAAAUCAAAAAGACUGGAGGAAGAUUUCUUCCUGAUGCUGUAAUCUCAUGCUGCUGUUUAUCUCCACCUGUGACUUUGCUUAUUCCUUCGUCCCUCUAUAAAUCACUGCAGCUGGUGGUGCAUUCACCCAACCUUUCUGCCAGGAUGGUGUCAAAACUCUUCCCAUCAGACACCUGAACUGGUCAAUUCCUACUGCUAAACACCACUAUUUUGAAGAAGGAAAACUGAAGUGAAAGCAAAUUUCAAAGGUACUCAAGACUUGUGUGAUACGGCGCUGAGCUCUGUGCUCACACAAAGAGCUGUUGGUUUUAGGCAUGCUAAAUGAAACACAUUUUACAUCUGCAGCAGAGUAAGAAAAAGUCUCGUUUCUUUUGCCUGAACAAAAGGCAAAGCAUAUAGCAGCUGCUGUUCUUGUAGUAAAGAUUUCAAAACUGAAUGGCAGUGCUCUCUCACUCCUAUUCAUUUGACAUUCAGCUUUCAGAUUGUGAUGUUCACUGUCAUAUUUAUCACUUAACUAUGAUGGGCUGUUUGGGGUGACAGUUAUGGAUGGAAGCAGCCACAGUUCUCACCACCUUUCCAGAUCCAUUUUAAGUGGUUUCUGCUCCAUCAUCACUAAGAGCUGAUGCUGCUAUUCCCAUAGUUGGGAGAUUAGAAGCAAUGUAUGAAUUCAGGCCUUUCUCCUUCCUGUGGUUGCCCUAUGGUCAGGCAGAGGAGACUUUCCCACUCUUUCAACCACUGCUGGUGAAAUGAGCCCCACAGUACGUGAUCGAGAGAACUGACUUCGAGCUUUGAUAGUUAUAAAUAGUAGGCACUGUAAUUGUCUAGCAGUUCUCCUGCAAAGAAGAGGUAAUUGUGUGGAUGAAUAAAAUAUUGGCAUUAAAAAAACAUUUUAAGCUUAAUCUCAAAGUAGCUGAUGAAGUAUUUCUAUGGCAGACCUGUCAGCUCACGUGCUCUCAGUGGUAGCUUCUCAUGCUUGGUUGGCUCUUUUGUAAGAAGAGAAAAAGAAUUAAAAAGAAAAAAACAAAAAUGAAACACACCAGAAACACAUGCACAGUACAGAAUGCACACACAACGAAACAGCAAAAUAAUCCUGAAAAUCAAAUGUGUGCAAUUGGAGAAGGCCUUCUGUACUUCUCCAUGUUACCCCUCAUGGGGAAGUUCCCAGCCCUGCCACUCAGGCAGACCCAGUGGAGGAGCUUUUUUCUCUGGGUGCCCAUCCCCAGCCUCACUGUACCUGACAACUUCAUGGUUCAGCCUGUUUCUUCUCCAGGGGGCAGAGCCAUGCUGCCUUCCCCUUCUGCAGGGACGAAGCUUGGGCUUCCAUUACACUGUGCUCUUGGAGAGACCGUCAGCUCAAACUGAUCUACAGCCUACCUGUGGGAUAGCCUUCAGCUUCCAGGCAGAGCAAAGCAGCCAGAGCACACCUGGGAGGGGGAGGAUCCUGAAAACUGCUGCUUAUGGGGUGGCAUCAGAUUACGACCAGUUCCUAGGAUUUGGCUCAGAGAUACAGAGGAAAGCAGGGAGGUGGGCUGGCUCCUCCAUCCUGGACCAAAAGUUUGAUGCAGGGAUUGGGUCUCCUCCCACUGCAUCAAUGCAUAGGAUGAGGGGAGGAGGAAGGAAAAGUGACUGGCAUUUUGAGAUCACUGAUAACCUUCAUGAGGCAUUAGUUUUAUUUAAUACAGAGUGUCAUGUUGGGUCCAGUAUUUCAGGGACCGAUUUAAGAUUUAACAGCAAUUCACAACACUAACAUCAGCCAAAGCAUUUCUGUUUGCAUUUUAGUUCUCCAGCAGAAGGAUGACAGCACUGAAGAUUAAAGCUUUUUUUUUUACCCCUCCUUAAGAUCUCAGCAAAGUGCAGAUUUGAAACACAGAAAGAGGUUGACCUUCGUAUUAACCUGAAUCUCUUUUCCUGUUUCUUCUUGAAUAUAUUUUAUUCUCUUUAUGCACAGUGGGGCUCUUUUUUUCUUGUGUGAGGCUGUUGAAUGAAAUGCCAGAAAGAUGGAGUGUGCACUUUUACAUCAAAGAAAUGAUGAGACCAUAAAAACUCAUUUCCCUUGUGACUUCUUAAAUUGUUGCUAAGGAAUUGAAUGAGUCUGUUUGAAACAAUGUGUCCCUUUAAAUUCUGUUUUCUUAUUUGUCUUAAAACACAAAGCCACAGUUUCUUGUAGACCCUGAUUCAAAGGCCACUCACUGAAGUCAAUAAAGGUUUCUUAGUCACUGUGUUUAGAUGUAGGUCAGAUUUUUCAAGUAUUCCACUAUGUAGAACCCAGGCAGACUGAUUUCAAAAGUUCUGGCUAUUCACAGAAAGAAAGUAAAAGGUCUAGUUUGUUUUUGUUCAUUCAGGUGGUUAAAAACGUCCCCUUCAAAUGGGCCAGAAUUGAGUCAACUGUCAACUGCUGAGCAGAACAAAUCUGACAGGGGCAAGUAAAAUGAAGCAGUAGUUAAAUUCAGAAAUCCAAAGAAGUAAAAAUGUUGAUUUACUUUAGUUUUUCUCAUGCACAGUGGUGACGUGCAGUAGAAGCACAAACAAAGCCCACGGUUCAGACUGUUGGAGGGAAACCCUGCCUAUUUCUGUGUAACAGUUUUGGGCAAUCACUCUCGCUGCUGGGGUGAAUGGUUUGUUAGUACUAUAACCCAGUGAGUUGCUAGAAAUGGUCUUGAUUGGAGAGCAUUGUAAAGCAAUUAAGUUCUGACUAUUAACAAAGCUCCCACAGAGAGCAUUAAUUUUUGAAAGUAGACAAAGUCUGCGCUACGACUUUCUAGUGACUGUGUGGAAGUGUGACCAGAGUGAAAUAUGGAAACUGCUACAGUAAGUCUCAACUGUUGUAGAUAUUCCUUAUCAGUUUCCAGGAAAGGGUUUUAAAGUUCCAAUUUAGAAAAGCAUUUAAAUGUAUUCUGAAAUUUAUUUCAAUUUAAUUGGAUACAGGUUUAACAAAUUGCUAAGUUUUUGCAUAAUAAGUAGCAAUUUAAGUAUCUUCUUAUAGAGCUGGUUUGGAUUUCAUCUAAAUAUCCUUUUCUCGGAAUUGGAGCCUUAGUCAUCUGAACUGUAAUGGGAUUUUCUGGGUCUAAAAUCCAGAAAAUGCCACUUUGCUCUCAGACCCAAGUCAGUCAUCUUCAUCUAUGAGAUACCCAUAUUGUGUGCACAUGUUCCUUUCCAGAACUCCAGCCGCCUGAGCUCUUUAACUUACUGUUUGUUUCUCUCUGCAAAGGCGUAUGAUAUUUUAAGCAGGUAACUUAACAGUGGUUCAAAAUAGUGAUUUCUUGUGUUAGUCAGUGUAAGAAAAAUCAUAGAAUCAAUCAUAGAGAAAUGCCAUGCUGAAGAUGCUAAAACCCCAGAAUGGAGGUCUCCAUCUCUGAUCGUUCUCAGAGGUUGAAAUUGCAGUUCGUCAUCUUCCCAUCUUUUGUACCCAAUUUCUGGUUGCUCUGCUCUGUUUUAUGCCUUGAAAAGGACAUUUGCUUUAAUGGUCCCAUGCUGGGAUUUCAGAACGAUGGGGAAACAUUGCUACCAGUAAAAUAUGUGGAACUAUUUUCAAAACGUUGGCGUGAGCCAACAGGACCUAUCAAAGCCUUUGCAAAAGCAUAAAACCAACUUCUCAGAUUACAUUGUUUAUAAUUUCUCUUGGGUUAUUUCCCAAUAACACAGAAAACGUGUGACUGUUUUUGUAUCUGAAAGGAGUUUGGCCGAUGCUGAGGUGGGAGUACAGGAUCUUUACCAAACAAGGCUCCAUGUCGUGAUGGGCAGUCUUUAGGACUCUGAGUAACUGAAUGCUUGUAGCACUUCACUUUCUGAAGAUAGAUGAAGCGUCUUCUGAAUUACAUGUGGUUUUUUUAUGUUUUGUUGUCUUGUUUUUCUUCUUGUAGUGUAAUUCUGAACCACAUGAUCAAGCCAGGUGUUAUUCCAUGCUACUGCUUCUGAAAAUGCAGAUGCAGCAGAUGCAGGCAUACGGGUUCAGUGAAUCAGGAACAGAUAAGUGUCAACUUUCCUCUGUGGUUGUGGUUGCAAAGACCCUUGUGCUGAACGAUUAUUCUCUAGUGUUUAGAAAGGAACAGUUUGAUUAUAGCAGUACUUUGUUUAAAAAAAAUUCUUGAAAACUACACUGAAAGUGGAUAUUUUCUGCUAUUACUUAAAACUCAGUGUUGGUUGCAAAGCCAAAGAAAACAGGUCCCCAUGUUCAAUAGCCAUACCUAAUACACUGUUGUGUUAGAUACCACAAUCCUAAUUCCAUAAGAUGGUGUUCUUGGAAACAGCAGAAAAUCAGCAUGGAAUAGAAAAAAUUUCCUCCAUUGUAAAACCAGUCGUUUGCAUUUUUAACGUGCCACCUUUCUAGUUUUUCUUCUUCUAUUGGGAAGAAGUUCAUAACAAGUUCACUCAUUUUAAUCUAAGGAAAAUGAACAGACCUCCCAGAGUUGAAAACCCGCUGUACAAACAGCAAAAUUAUUCUGACUUCCAGGAGUAAUUUAAUUAGAAGGAUUCUUCAGAGUGGCUUUUUUUUUUUUUUUUUUUUCAUUAGAAAAUGUGGUGUUUUUCACGCCGUACAGCACAAAACCUUUCGCAUUUUUGUAAAGUGUAAUAAAAUAAUCACUGGGAAUUUCUGGAUCUUUCUCUAUAGGAGUUGCUACCCAUUUUUCUUUUUAAGCUAAUUUAAGGGACAGAGUAGCUCAAUAAUUUGUUUUUCUGCUUAAAAAGGUGACUUUGAAGAAGAGUGACAUGAUAAACCUUCCACAGUGAUUAUGGAAAAUAUUGUUUCUGCUAUUUAUGAAAUACACUGUGAUGCUCUUUUGAUUAAAAAUGAAGAUGAAAAUCUUUCAAAGCCUUUGAGACAAAAUUAUUUCAGCAAACAAAGAAUGAGAAGAGUAUCUGGUAGUGGUGUGGACUUCUGCAUGGUCUUGAAUAUGUGCUGCUCUAUGGAAGAACCAUUUCCAGAAGUGGCAUUUGUCCCCACAGACUUUUUAUGUCCAGGUGUUUCACUUAUCUGUAGUUCCACUUAUGUUUUCUUUUCUUUUCUUUCAACUAAUGUCCAGGACAAGUUAAAGUGAAUCCUACAUUCACUGGCUGACUAGGUGCUAAUUGCUAACAUCAGUUCUGAACCUGAGACAGAUAUUAGCUCCAUGUGCAAUUAGCACACUGAUGUACAGAGGAACUGAGAUCCCAAGAUGAAAACCAGAAGAAUGAGGUGCUGUACUGUCAUUUUGGAAGACAGUACCCCGGUUUCACUACUUGUAGUUACAGAACAUCAUUAGCUUUUGAAAAUGAACAGGAAAAUCUGCUAUUAGUGUUCCUUCCUGCUGUUAUGCAGCAUGAGGGGUUCUCAGUGUCUAUGCUUGUACUUUGUUGCUCUUGUUGAAACAUCCCUUUCUUGAAGAGAUCAUUUAGGACUGGGAAGACCAGAGACUCUGGGAAUGAUAUUCUAACAGAGUUAGAAAAUGCCAGAAUGUUACUGACCUCAAUGUGGAUUACAUUUCUGAAGUAGUUUGGGACAUUCUCUUGCCACCUGUAGUUGUAUAGUUUGUAUUUCAGAAUUAGGGAGGUUAACAGUAAAGGAGCGAUACAAUUCAUCUAAAGAGUGAUGUAGAGAAUUGUAAGGAAAUUACAACUUUUGUUGAGUUCUUUACCGACAUUUAUUGACUUCAUUUCUGCUUAACGCUACAGCUGACACCAAGCCCAGCCCUUUGUUUGCAGGACAGUAGAUUUAAGUGCUCACUAAAACAAGAAGUCUGUGGAAUAAUUAAAUAAUGAGUAUUUUUAACAAGUGUCCUUUGAAAACAUCUCAAGGUAAUGUUGAAAGAAAAUAAAACAAAAAAGCAAACAAUAGGAAGAACUGAAAAUCAUUUGCAUAGAAAUGAUCACAUUCCAUCAUGAUGUCCUAAUUUGUGCCUAUGUUUUAGGAUGUUUAUGGUGAUUCCAGGGCUGAUUACCAUAUUAAUGUCAUGAAAAUAAUAAAAAUGUACUGAUUUAGUGCAUUACUCCCUUAAACCAGUCAUAAGAAAAGAUUUACCUUAGUUAUUCUGUGGUAAAAGUUAUAUUACUCAUUUUCUUCAUCUUCAGUGCAUGUGGUAACACAGAAAUAUCACUUUGCAAAGUGCUUUAUAUCAAGGAAAUUCCAGACCACAACAAAGGAGUGCAUGUUAAAAUCAUGAGAAAUGUAGUUUGA
Long non-coding RNA from Gallus gallus (chicken), 6892 nucleotides. The record is from Ensembl. Lineage: Eukaryota; Metazoa; Chordata; Aves; Galliformes; Phasianidae.